UUCCGUAGGUGAACCUGCGGAAGGACAUUAA
Molecule: ribosomal RNA, 31 nt
Filed under: Flammulina fennae
Lineage: Eukaryota; Fungi; Basidiomycota; Agaricomycetes; Agaricales; Physalacriaceae
Description: partial 18S ribosomal RNA
Source: RNAcentral